AAAAAAAAAAAAAAAAAACUUAUAGAAAUGUUGCCAAAGAGUAUCAUCAGUAAUCAGCUAUACAAAAAUAAAUACAUCAAUAAAAAAUAGUAACUCAUUAAGAUAAAUUAUUAGUUGAUCAGCACUCAGCAUUCCCAAGAGCAAGUGAUAGAUAUGGAUCAUAAGAAAAUAAAAAAAUCCUAUUUAGCCUAGAGGUAGUAGAUAUGUGCACAUACAUUUAUAAGCAAAUAAAAAGAAGAGAAAAAUAAUGAACAUAACAAGAACAUCCGAGAAACUUGAGCUUAUGGUGGAGUAACGUUGUCAGCCCAUUGGCGAAGCCAGUCACUGGAAUCCCAAAAAGAUGGUUCUUCAAAUGACUGGACAGGAGCUUCAGAAAGAAUUGAUUGCACUUCUUGUCUCCUUUCGGACAUAUGAUUCAACUCUCUGUCCUUCUUCAAUUUGUAUUGUUCGCAAGCUUCAAGAUAUGAU
RNAcentral lists this unclassified non-coding RNA (468 nucleotides) under Hevea brasiliensis (rubber tree). Lineage: Eukaryota; Viridiplantae; Streptophyta; Magnoliopsida; Malpighiales; Euphorbiaceae. The record is from RNAcentral.